UGGAAUAUGCUUGUUUCAAAGAUUAAGCCAUGCAUGUCUGAGCAUGCGCUGAAGUAAAGUGAAGCCGCGAAUAGCUCAUUACAACAGCCGUUGUUUCUUGGAUCUCUUCUCUACUUGGAUAACUGUGGUAAUUCUAGAGCUAAUACAUGCAAGCAAGCCCUGAUCGUGAGUGACGGGCGCAUUUAUUAGAACAAGACCAUCCGGCCUCGUGCCGUAACUUGGUGACUCUGAAUAACUGAGCGGAUCGCACGGGCUUGUCCCGGCGACGUAUCUUUCAAGUGUCUGCCUUAUCAGGUUUCGUUGGCGGUUUAUGUGACCGCCAAGCCUGUAACGGGUAACGGAGGAUCAGGGUCUGACUCCGGAGAGGGAGCCUGAGAAACGGCUACCACUUCUAAGGAAGGCAGCAGGCGCGCAAAUUACCCAUUCUUGGCUCAAGGAGGUAGUGACGAAAAAUACCAAGGUCAGGCUCAUCGAGCUUGACCAUUGGAAUGAGAACAAUCUAAAUCCUUUAACGAGGAUCUAGU
This 524-nucleotide ribosomal RNA is filed under the name uncultured microeukaryote. RNAcentral describes it as "SSU rRNA". It matches the Rfam family "Eukaryotic small subunit ribosomal RNA", at positions 26 to 549 of the family's 1831-position model. The record is from RNAcentral.